UGGGGAAUUUUGGACAAUGGGCGAAAGCCUGAUCCAGCCAUGCCGCGUGCAGGAUGAAGGCCUUCGGGUUGUAAACUGCUUUUGUACGGAACGAAAAGACUCUGGUUAAUACCUGGGGUCCAUGACGGUACCGUAAGAAUAAGCACCGGCUAACUACGUGCCAGCAGCCGCGGUAAUACGUAGGGUGCAAGCGUUAAUCGGAAUUACUGGGCGUAAAGCGUGCGCAGGCGGUUAUAUAAGACAGAUGUGAAAUCCCCGGGCUCAACCUGGGAACUGCAUUUGUGACUGUAUAGCUAGAGUACGGCAGAGGGGGAUGGAAUUCCGCGUGUAGCAGUGAAAUGCGUAGAUAUGCGGAGGAACACCGAUGGCGAAGGCAAUCCCCUGGGCCUGUACUGACGCUCAUGCACGAAAGCGUGGGGAGCAAACAGGAUUAGAUACCCUGGUAGUCCACGCCCUAAACGAUGUCAACUGGUUGUUGGGUCUUCACUGACUCAGUAACGAAGCCAACGCGUGAAGUUGACCGCCUGGGGGAGUACGGCUGCAAGGUUGAAAACUUAAAGGAAUUGACGGGGGUCAUAGCUGUUUCCU
This 588-nucleotide ribosomal RNA is filed under the name uncultured bacterium. RNAcentral describes it as "partial 16S ribosomal RNA". It matches the Rfam family "Bacterial small subunit ribosomal RNA", at positions 355 to 938 of the family's 1533-position model. The record is from RNAcentral.